Molecule: ribosomal RNA, 510 nt
Filed under: uncultured bacterium
Lineage: Bacteria
Description: partial 16S ribosomal RNA
Rfam family: Bacterial small subunit ribosomal RNA
Source: RNAcentral
GACGAACGCUGGCGGCGUGCUUAACACAUGCAAGUCGAACGAAGAGCGAUGGAAGCUUGCUUCUAUCAAUCUUAGUGGCGAACGGGUGAGUAACGCGUAAUCAACCUGCCCUUCAGAGGGGGACAACAGUUGGAAACGACUGCUAAUACCGCAUACGAUCUAAUCUCGGCAUCGAGGAAAGAUGAAAGGUGGCCUCUAUUUAUAAGCUAUCACUGAAGGAGGGGAUUGCGUCUGAUUAGCUAGUUGGAGGGGUAACGGCCCACCAAGGCGAUGAUCAGUAGCCGGUCUGAGAGGAUGAACGGCCACAUUGGGACUGAGACACGGCCCAGACUCCUACGGGAGGCAGCAGUGGGGAAUCUUCCGCAAUGGACGAAAGUCUGACGGAGCAACGCCGCGUGAGUGAUGACGGCCUUCGGGUUGUAAAGCUCUGUUAAUCGGGACGAAAGGCCUUCUUGCGAACAGCUAGAAGGAUUGACGGUACCGGAAUAGAAAGCCACGGCUAACUACGUG